This 497-nucleotide ribosomal RNA is filed under the name uncultured bacterium. RNAcentral describes it as "partial 16S ribosomal RNA". It matches the Rfam family "Bacterial small subunit ribosomal RNA", at positions 28 to 507 of the family's 1533-position model. The record is from RNAcentral.
GAUGAACGCUGGCGGCGUGCCUAAUACAUGCAAGUCGAGCGAACAGACGAGGAGCUUGCUCCUCUGACGUUAGCGGCGGACGGGUGAGUAACACGUGGAUAACCUACCUAUAAGACUGGGAUAACUUCGGGAAACCGGAGCUAAUACCGGAUAAUAUAUUGAACCGCAUGGGUCAAUAGUGAAAGACGGUUUUGCUGUCACGUAUAGAUGGAUCCGCGCCGCAUUAGCUAGUUGGUAAGGUAACGGCUUACCAAGGCAACGAUGCGUAGCCGACCUGAGAGGGUGGUCGGCCACACUGGAACUGAGACACGGUCCAGACUCCUACGGGAGGCAGCAGUAGGGAAUCUUCCGCAAUGGGCGAAAGCUUGACGGAGCAACGCCGCGUGAGUGAUGACGGUCUUCGGAUCGUAAAACUCUGUUAUUAGGGAAGAACAAAUGUGUAAGUAACUAUGCACGUCUUGACGGUACCUAAUCAGAAAGCCACGGCUAACUACGUG